UCCUCUGUAGUUCAGUCGGUAGAACGGCGGACUGUUAAUCCGUAUGUCACUGGUUCGACUCCAGUCAGAGGAGCCA
This 76-nucleotide transfer RNA is filed under the name Escherichia coli. RNAcentral's name for it is "tRNA-Asn". It matches the Rfam family "tRNA". From Rfam's summary of the family: Transfer RNA (tRNA) molecules are approximately 80 nucleotides in length. Their secondary structure includes four short double-helical elements and three loops (D, anti-codon, and T loops). The record is from RNAcentral. Lineage: Bacteria; Pseudomonadati; Pseudomonadota; Gammaproteobacteria; Enterobacterales; Enterobacteriaceae. RNAcentral also lists the same sequence under 1 other name.